GCCCAGGUGGUGGAAAUGGUAGACACAAGGGACUUAAAAUCCCUCGAACCUAGUUCGUACCGGUUCAAGUCCGGUCUUGGGCACCA
Molecule: transfer RNA, 86 nt
Filed under: Helicobacter muridarum
Lineage: Bacteria; Pseudomonadati; Campylobacterota; Epsilonproteobacteria; Campylobacterales; Helicobacteraceae
Also listed under: 1 other name
Description: tRNA-Leu
Rfam family: tRNA
About the family: Transfer RNA (tRNA) molecules are approximately 80 nucleotides in length.
Source: RNAcentral